AACGAACGCUGGCGGCAUGCCUAACACAUGCAAGUCGAACGAGACCUUCGGGUCUAGUGGCGCACGGGUGCGUAACGCGUGGGAACCUGCCCUUAGGUUCGGAAUAACUCCCCGAAAGGGGUGCUAAUACCGGAUAAUGUCUUCGGACCAAGGAUUUAUCGCCUUUGGAUGGGCGCGCGUUGGAUUAGCUGGUUGGUAGGGUAAAAGCGGACCAAGGCGACGAUGCAUAGCUGGUCGGAGAGGAGGAUCAGCUACACUGGGAAUGAGACACGGCCCAGACUCCUACGGGAGGGAGCAGUGGAGAAUAUUGGACAAUGGGCGAAAGCCUGAUCAAGCAACGCCGCGUGAGUGAUGAAGGCCUUAGGGUUGUAAAGCUCUUUUACCCGGGAUGAUAAUGACAGUACCGGGUGAAUAAGCUCCGGCUAACUCCGUG
Molecule: ribosomal RNA, 433 nt
Filed under: uncultured bacterium
Lineage: Bacteria
Description: partial 16S ribosomal RNA
Rfam family: Bacterial small subunit ribosomal RNA
Source: RNAcentral